AUUUACUUUCAGAAAAUAGUUUAACAAAAAUAAAAGCCUUGGGAGCUUUAGAUUUAAUCA
This 60-nucleotide transfer RNA is filed under the name Lamprotula caveata. RNAcentral's name for it is "tRNA-Pro". The record is from RNAcentral. Lineage: Eukaryota; Metazoa; Mollusca; Bivalvia; Unionida; Unionidae.